This 486-nucleotide ribosomal RNA is filed under the name uncultured bacterium. RNAcentral describes it as "partial 16S ribosomal RNA". It matches the Rfam family "Bacterial small subunit ribosomal RNA", at positions 899 to 1397 of the family's 1533-position model. The record is from RNAcentral.
ACUCAAAUGAAUAGACGGGGGCCCGCACAAGCAGCGGAGCGUGUGGUUUAAUUCGAGGCUACGCGAAGAACCUUACCCAGGUUUGACAUGUAGGUAGUAGUGAAACGAAAGUGGAACGAUCCUUCGGGAAGCCUACACAGGUGAUGCAUGGCUGUCGUCAGCUCGUGCCGUGAGGUGUUUGGUUAAGUCCAGUAACGAGCGCAACCCCUAGGGUCAGUUACAAGUGUCUGGCCCGACUGCCGGUCUUAAGCCGGAGGAAGGUGGGGAUGACGUCAAGUCAGCAUGUCCUUUAUAUCUGGGGCUACACACACGCUACAAUGGGCGGUACAAUGGGUCGCCAACUCGCAAGAGGGAGCCAAUCCUAAAAAACCGUCCUCAGUUCAGAUCGCAGGCUGCAACUCGCCUGCGUGAAGUCGGAGUUGCUAGUAAACGCAGGACAGCUAUACUGCGUUGAAUACGUUCCCGGGCCUUGCACACACCGCCCGU